This 72-nucleotide transfer RNA is filed under the name Camelus bactrianus (Bactrian camel). It matches the Rfam family "tRNA". From Rfam's summary of the family: Transfer RNA (tRNA) molecules are approximately 80 nucleotides in length. Their secondary structure includes four short double-helical elements and three loops (D, anti-codon, and T loops). RNAcentral also lists the same sequence under 2 other names. Lineage: Eukaryota; Metazoa; Chordata; Mammalia; Artiodactyla; Camelidae. The record is from Rfam by way of RNAcentral.
GAGGAUAUAGCUCAGUGAUACAGCAGAUGCUUAGUAUGCAUGAGGUCCUGGGUUUGAGCCCCAGUACCUCCA